Molecule: ribosomal RNA, 691 nt
Filed under: Nosema granulosis
Lineage: Eukaryota; Fungi; Microsporidia; Nosematidae
Description: partial small subunit ribosomal RNA
Rfam family: Microsporidia small subunit ribosomal RNA
Source: RNAcentral
CGAACAGCUCAGUAACUCUUAUUUUAUUUGAUGUAUUAGGAUUAUAACUAUGUUAAAUUAUAGAUAACAAUAAUACAAUAAGAAUAAGAUCUAUCAGUUAGUUGUUAAGGUAAUGGCUUAACAAGACUAUGACGGAUAACGGUAUUACUUUGUAAUAUUCCGGAGAAGGAGCCUGAGAGAUUGCUACUAAGUCUAAGGAUUGCAGCAGGGGCGAAACUUGACCUAUGAUAUGAUAUUGAGGCAGUUAUGAGUAGUAUUUUUAAUUAUUGUAGUAUUGUAAGUAUAUACUACAAGAUAAAUCGGAGGGCAAAUCGAGUGCCAGCAGCCGCGGUAAUACUUGUUCCGAUAGUGUGUAUGAUGAUUGAUGCAGUUAAAAAGUCUGUAGUUUAUUAUUAAUAAGCAUUGUGAGGUAUAUUGUAUGGUUAGGAGAGAGAUGAAAUGUGAUAACCCUAACUGGAUGAACAGAAGCGAAAGCUAUAUACUUAAAUGUUUUAUUAGAACAAGGACGUAAGCUAGAGGAUCGAAGAUGAUUAGAUACCAUUGUAGUUCUAGCAGUAAACUAUGUUAAAUCAUAGAUACAUUAUUAAUAUGUAUUUAUGUAAAGAAAUUAAGAUUAUAUUGACUCUGGGGAUAGUAUGAUCGCAAGAUUGAAAAUUAAAGAAAUUGACGGAAGAAUACCACAAGGAGUGGA